CUUUUUUAUCUUCUCGUUCCUUCUUCUUUCUUCUUCUUCUCUGGUUCUCCUCUCCUCCUUUCUGUUGAUUCAAUCUCAGAGAUUCGAACCUCUUCGGUUCGAGAAAUUCUUUUAAAAACUUGUUAUCUUGAUGAACUGAGUGGCAAGAUGAUGUUACGGAAGUUGAUUUAGUUCUGAAAAGCAGAGAAGUGUUACUCUUUAUUAACAACGAUCGAUUCAAAGGAUGAACCGGUAGAUCGUGGAUCUUGUGGUAGCCAUGGCUUGUCGUCAAUUCAGUUGGGAACUUUGUAACCUUCUUGUAAUCAUUGAGUUUCUUUCCUUUGCGAGCAUGAUGUGCUUUUAUUAUUUAUAUGAAUGUAUAAUGUAAUUUCAUUGAACGAUGUUUUGUACUGAAUGUAAUUAUAUGCGUGUGAUAUGCAUUAUGUGGUUUCCCUCGCGAGGAGUGUAUGUGUCUCCCCACAGCUCCUUCCUAAGUUAAGUAGGGUGGUAUGCCAUCAGUCGGAAAUAAUAUUAGUAGGGCGGUACGCCGACAAUAAUAUUAUAUUUUAUGGUUAUUAAGAUAGUAGGGCGGUAUGCCAUCCGUCGGCAAUAGUAUUAGUAGGGAGGUACGCCAUCCGUCAGAAUAUUAUAUAUACUAUUUUAUUUAAGGGAAAUCACUUGUGUGCAUAUUAUGCUUGUAUGAAUAACUUUUGCUUCUUUAUGCGUGAAUUGCUGAAUGUUUCCUUUCA
Molecule: long non-coding RNA, 728 nt
Organism: Papaver somniferum (opium poppy)
Lineage: Eukaryota; Viridiplantae; Streptophyta; Magnoliopsida; Ranunculales; Papaveraceae
Exons: 2
Source: RefSeq, a predicted model, not a curated record